Molecule: ribosomal RNA, 526 nt
Filed under: uncultured bacterium
Lineage: Bacteria
Description: bacterial SSU rRNA
Rfam family: Bacterial small subunit ribosomal RNA
Source: RNAcentral
AAUAGAUACCCGGGUAGUCCACGCCGUAAACGAUGCACACUAGAUCGGAGUGAGUCUGACCUCUUUCCGGUCGAAACGAAAGCGUUAAGUGUGCCGCCUGGGGAGUACGGUCGCAAGGCUAAAACUCAAAGGAAUUGACGGGGGCUCACACAAGCGGUGGAGCAUGUUGCUUAAUUCGAGGCAACGCGAAGAACCUUACCUGGGUUUGACAUGCACGGAUUAACUCUGUGAAAGCAGAGCCACGCCCGCAAGGGUGGAACGUGCACAGGUGCUGCAUGGCUGUCGUCAGCUCGUGCUGUGAAGUGUCGGGUUAAGUCCCUUAACGAGCGCAACCCCUAUCGUUAGUUACUAACGCGUCAUGGCGAGGACUCUAACGAGACUGCCGGUGUCAAACCGGAGGAAGGUGGGGAUGACGUCAAGUCCUCAUGGCCCUUACGCCCAGGGAUGCAAACGUGCUACAAUGGCGCGUACAGAGCGAUGCUAACCUGCGAAGGUAUGCAAAUCGCAAAAAGCGCGCCCAGUUCGG